GUUCUGUACAAUAAGAGAUGAGGUGUAAAGGUGCCGUGUGUUCAACAGGGUUAUAGCCUAAUUAUUAUUGAGUGAGUGCUCAGAGAAGGUGAAAAGCCUGUGUGGUUGUAUCAUCCUGUUGAACCGUGACACUAAAGAGUCGAGUUGUUUGAGAGUACAACUUAAAGCUGGUGGUAAAUUUCAUCAAAGGCUAAAUAUAUGAGGGGACUAAUAGCGAACAAGUACCAUGAGGGAAAGUUGAAAAGAACUCUGACGAGAGAGUUCAACAGUACGUGAAACCAUAUUGAGUAAAACAGAUAACUGUGUUGUUAUGUGGUGUGCCUAUCAACAGUCAAUUUGGUGGUGUGAUGUCAUGWGUGAAAGCUGUCUAUUCAGCUGCUUGCUUAUGAUUAGCAYAGCCAGAGGUUCUGUGCACUAGUGCACACUCGAUCAUUGAGAAACUAUGCUGCUGCAGCAUCGGCAAGCAACAGMCUGUACCUAGUGCACAGUUGCAUGUUGGGCGUAGCUAGCUGGCGUAGUUUAGCUGUGUGACAGCUGUGGGUUGCGUUUACUGAAGGUGGCUGCUGUAUCUGCGAAAUGGUUUAUUCCUCUUUGCGGUGAGUAUGUCGCUGUAGGUAAGCGAUCCGCCAUCAAUGGUUAACAUUAGUUAUUUGACCCGUCUUGAAACACGGACCAAGGAGUUCAAAUGGCACGCGAGUCAUUGGGUUUUGACACCCGAAGGCGAAGUGAAAUGCAAACGUAUUGUUAUUUGUGGUUGUUCCAUGAUGAAGCGAUAAGCUACUCAUGCUU
RNAcentral lists this ribosomal RNA (789 nucleotides) under Ornithonyssus wernecki. RNAcentral describes it as "eukaryotic LSU rRNA". It matches the Rfam family "Eukaryotic large subunit ribosomal RNA", at positions 125 to 777 of the family's 3401-position model. Lineage: Eukaryota; Metazoa; Arthropoda; Arachnida; Mesostigmata; Macronyssidae. The record is from RNAcentral.